RNAcentral lists this long non-coding RNA (281 nucleotides) under Theobroma cacao (cacao). Its description in RNAcentral is "long non-coding RNA (TCAC_LNC006435)". Lineage: Eukaryota; Viridiplantae; Streptophyta; Magnoliopsida; Malvales; Malvaceae. The record is from RNAcentral.
UCUCUCUCUCUAGAACCAAACACUCUAACUUCUCUCUAAAAAAAAACCUUUCUCUCCCUCAUUACCCUCCGACGACUAGUAGGGCUUUUUGCCUUUGCCGACGAUGCGACCCAAUUGACCAAAUUUCUCCCUUUCUUUUCUCCGACGUCGGCCUAAUCUCCUUCUCUCUCUCUUGCUUCAACGCCGACGUUCUUCCCUUUCUCUCUCACCGUCGUUCCAGUUUCUCUCUUCUCAUCCCUGCGUCGGUAGCUCCUUCUCUUCCCUGCGACGGCAGCUCCUGC